Unclassified non-coding RNA from Dipodomys ordii (Ord's kangaroo rat), 253 nucleotides. Its record names the gene 7SK. It matches the Rfam family "7SK RNA". Rfam says of the family: 7SK was discovered as an abundant small nuclear RNA in the mid-70s but a possible function has only recently been suggested. Two independent studies have found that 7SK RNA binds the CDK9/cyclin T complex (known as elongation factor P-TEFb). P-TEFb activates transcription by phosphorylating the C-terminal domain of RNA polymerase II. The record is from Ensembl. Lineage: Eukaryota; Metazoa; Chordata; Mammalia; Rodentia; Heteromyidae.
GGAUGUAAGGGCAAUCGGGCUGUGCCAUGUGUGACUGCAUUGAUCACCAGGGUUGAUUUGUGGGAUCAGGGCAGUCAUCCUUUUCUUCCCUAACUGCUACAGUGCAUUCCUCCCCAUUUUAAGAGGAGAAUCAUUCUCCUGUCAAGUGUGUAAGAAUAGCUGUGCUCCCCUGCUACAACCUUCAAACAGGAUUUCAAAGACUAAUAAGGCUUUUGUGUCUCCAAACCAAAGGCGACCUCUCCUUUCACAGUGU